UUCCGGGUCUUGUACACACCGCCCGUCACACCACGAAAGUCGGCAAUACCCGAAGCCGGUGGCCUAACCCGCAAGGGAGGGAGCCGUCGAAGGUAGGGUCGAUGAUUGGGGUG
Molecule: ribosomal RNA, 113 nt
Filed under: uncultured bacterium
Lineage: Bacteria
Description: partial 16S ribosomal RNA
Rfam family: Bacterial small subunit ribosomal RNA
Source: RNAcentral